GGAGGGUGUAGCUCAGUGGUAGAGCAUAUGCUUAGCAUGCAUAAGGUCCUGGGUUUAAUCCCCAGUACCUCCA
This 73-nucleotide transfer RNA is filed under the name Vicugna pacos (alpaca). Its description in RNAcentral is "tRNA-Ala (AGC) (tRNA-Ala-AGC-502-1)". It matches the Rfam family "tRNA". From Rfam's summary of the family: Transfer RNA (tRNA) molecules are approximately 80 nucleotides in length. Their secondary structure includes four short double-helical elements and three loops (D, anti-codon, and T loops). Further hydrogen bonds mediate the characteristic L-shaped molecular structure. tRNAs have two regions of fundamental functional importance: the anti-codon, which is responsible for specific mRNA codon recognition, and the 3' end, to which the tRNAs corresponding amino acid is attached (by aminoacyl-tRNA synthetases). tRNAs cope with the degeneracy of the genetic code in two manners: having more than one tRNA (with a specific anti-codon) for a particular amino acid; and 'wobble' base-pairing, i.e. permitting non-standard base-pairing at the 3rd anti-codon position. The record is from RNAcentral. Lineage: Eukaryota; Metazoa; Chordata; Mammalia; Artiodactyla; Camelidae.